Molecule: unclassified non-coding RNA, 90 nt
Filed under: Pseudomonas mediterranea
Lineage: Bacteria; Pseudomonadati; Pseudomonadota; Gammaproteobacteria; Pseudomonadales; Pseudomonadaceae
Source: RNAcentral
UGUGGGAGCGAGCCUGCUCGCGAUGACGUCGGCACAGUCAACUUCCUUGCCGACUGACAGACCGCCAUCGCGAGCAGGCUCGCUCCCACA